This 1175-nucleotide ribosomal RNA is filed under the name human gut metagenome. RNAcentral's name for it is "bacterial LSU rRNA". It matches the Rfam family "Bacterial large subunit ribosomal RNA", at positions 1283 to 2464 of the family's 2925-position model. The record is from RNAcentral.
UAGAAGUGAGAAUGCCGGUAUGAGUAGCGAAAGACAGGUGAGAAUCCUGUCCACCGAAUGACUAAGGUUUCCUGGGGAAGGCUCGUCCUCCCAGGGUAAGUCGGGACCUAAGCCGAGGCCGAAAGGCGUAAGCGAUGGCUAACAGGUUGAGAUUCCUGUACCAGUUGAAUGCGUUUGAAUGAAGGAGGGACGCAGGAGGCUAAGCGAACCGCACGAUUGGAAGAGUGCGGCCAAGCAGUAAGUCAGUAACUGAGUCAAAUGCUUAGUUGCGAGUUGACAAGCUGUGAUGGGGAGUGAAAUUAAAGUAACGAAGUCGCCGAUGUCACACUGCCGAGAAAAGCUUCUAGUGAGUAUUCAACUGCCCGUACCGCAAACCGACACAGGUAGUCGAGGAGAGAAUCCUAAGGUGAGCGAGAGAACUCUCGUUAAGGAACUCGGCAAAAUGACCCCGUAACUUCGGAAGAAGGGGUGCUGGUCGCAAGGCCAGCCGCAGUGAAAAGGCCCAGGCGACUGUUUAUCAAAAACACAGGUUUCUGCAAAAUCGUAAGAUGAAGUAUAGGGGCUGACGCCUGCCCGGUGCUGGAAGGUUAAAAGGAAGGGUUAGCUUCGGCGAAGCUCUGAAUUGAAGCCCCAGUAAACGGCGGCCGUAACUAUAACGGUCCUAAGGUAGCGAAAUUCCUUGUCGGGUAAGUUCCGACCCGCACGAAAGGCGUAACGAUCUGGGCACUGUCUCAACGAGAGACUCGGUGAAAUUGAAAUCCCUGUGAAGAUGCAGGGUACCCGCGACAGGACGGAAAGACCCCAUGGAGCUUUACUGUAGCUUGAUAUUGAGUGUUUGUACUGCUUGUACAGGAUAGGUAGGAGCCGUAGAAAGCGGAACGCUAGUUUCGCUGGAGGCGCUGGUGGGAUACUACCCUUGCAUUAUGACCACUCUAACCCGCAGCACUGAACGUGCUGGGAGACAGUGUCAGGUGGGCAGUUUGACUGGGGCGGUCGCCUCCCAAAAGGUAACGGAGGCGCCCAAAGGUUCGCUCAGAAUGGUUGGAAAUCAUUCGGAGAGUGUAAAGGCACAAGCGAGCUUGACUGCGAGACAGACAGGUCGAGCAGGGACGAAAGUCGGGCUUAGUGAUCCGGUGGUUCCGCAUGGAAGGGCCAUCGCUCAACGGAUAAAAGCU